UACGGGGGGGGGUAAGCGUUGUUCGGAAUUACUGGGCGUAAAGGGCUCGUAGGCGGCCAACUAAGUCAGACGUGAAAUCCCUCAGCUUAACUGGGGAACUGCGUCUGAUACUGGAUGGCUUGGAUUUGGGAGAGGGAUGCGGAAUUCCAGGUGUAGCGGUGAAAUGCGUAGAUAUCUGGAGGAACACCGGUGGCGAAGGCGGCAUCCUGGACCAAUAUUGACGCUGAGGAGCGAAAGCCAGGGGAGCAAAGCGGG
This 255-nucleotide ribosomal RNA is filed under the name uncultured bacterium. RNAcentral describes it as "partial 16S ribosomal RNA". It matches the Rfam family "Bacterial small subunit ribosomal RNA", at positions 524 to 777 of the family's 1533-position model. The record is from RNAcentral.